UACGUAGGGCGCAAGCGUUAUCCGGAAUUAUUGGGCGUAAAGAGCUCGUAGGCGGUUUGUCGCGUCUGCCGUGAAAGUCCGGGGCUCAACUCCGGAUCUGCGGUGGGUACGGGCAGACUAGAGUGAUGUAGGGGAGACUGGAAUUCCUGGUGUAGCGGUGAAAUGCGCAGAUAUCGGGAGGAACACCAGUAGCGAAGGCGACACUCUGGGCCGAUACUGACGCUGAGGAGCGAAAGCGUGGGGAGCGAACAGG
Molecule: ribosomal RNA, 253 nt
Filed under: uncultured bacterium
Lineage: Bacteria
Description: partial 16S ribosomal RNA
Rfam family: Bacterial small subunit ribosomal RNA
Source: RNAcentral